GAUGAACGCUAGCGGCAGGCCUAAUACAUGCAAGUCGAGGGGUAGAAGAGGCUUGCUUCUUUGAGAACGGCGCACGGGUGCGUAACGCGUAUGCAACCUACCUUCAUCUGGGGGAUAGCCCGGAGAAAUCCGGAUUGAUACCGGAUAAAAUAAGAGGAGGGAAUUAUCGAAUGAUCAAACAUUUAUGGGAUGGAGAUGGGCAUGCGUGUCAUUAGCUAGUUGGCGGGGUAACGGCCCACCAAGGCGACGAUGACUAGGGGAUCUGAGAGGAUGGCCCCCCACACUGGUACUGAGACACGGACCAGACUCCUACGGGAGGCAGCAGUAAGGAAUAUUGGUCAAUGGAGGCAACUCUGAACCAGCCAUGCCGCGUGCAGGAAGACUGCCCUAUGGGUUGUAAACUGCUUUUAUUCGGGAAUAAACCUUAUUACGUGUAAUAAGCUGAAUGUACCGAAGGAAUAAGGAUCGGCUAACUCCGUGCCAGCCGCCGCCGUAA
Molecule: ribosomal RNA, 496 nt
Filed under: uncultured bacterium
Lineage: Bacteria
Description: partial 16S ribosomal RNA
Rfam family: Bacterial small subunit ribosomal RNA
Source: RNAcentral